This 253-nucleotide ribosomal RNA is filed under the name uncultured bacterium. Its description in RNAcentral is "partial 16S ribosomal RNA". It matches the Rfam family "Bacterial small subunit ribosomal RNA", at positions 524 to 776 of the family's 1533-position model. The record is from RNAcentral.
UACGUAGGGGGCAAGCGUUGUCCGGAAUCAUUGGGCGUAAAGGGUGCGUAGGCGGUCUGACAAGUCUGAUGUGAAAUCUAUGGGCUCAACCCAUAGUCUGCAUCGGAAACUGUCGGGCUUGAGUAUGGGAGAGGUGAGUGGAAUUUCCGGUGUAGCGGUGAAAUGCGUAGAUAUUCGGAAGAACACCAGUGGCGAAGGCGACUCACUGGACAGGUAUUGACGCUGAGGUGCGAAAGCGUGGGGAGCAAACAGG